AAAUAGGGCAUUUUUGCGCUAUAAACCACUGUAAACCUACCUCGUCCUCGUUGCUUCGGCGGGCGGCUCCCGGGGGAGCCCACCUGGCCGAGUACGGUGCUCGCCGGCAGCGAACUCUCUCUACUCUGAACGUCUCCUCUGAGUGACAUGCUGAAGAGCAAAAAACUAUCA
This 171-nucleotide unclassified non-coding RNA is filed under the name uncultured fungus. RNAcentral's name for it is "sequence contains ITS1, 5.8S rRNA gene". The record is from RNAcentral. Lineage: Eukaryota; Fungi.